GGGGGGAAUUCCAGGGGAAUCGCUGAGAACAAAAGAGGAGUUAUAGGGGUCAGGGUAAGACAUGCUGUGGGGUCAGAAAAGCACCCAGGCGGAUUGAGAGCUGGAAGAUGUGGACAUGAGGACACAGAGUGCAUUAAGCACCGAUGACACUCUCCCAAUUGGGCACAGAAUUUGGUUGAGAUGUCAACUAACGUGAGUUCAAUGUGAAAUCAACAAAAAUGUCACCAAGUCAUUGGAUUUAGGUUAAAAGUUGGGUGAAAAAAAUAUGAAAUUACAGUACAGUUUUCCACAUUGAUUCAAUGACAACAUAUAUAAUUUUGGGGUUGAAAUGACAUUGAAACAACGUUGAUAUGCCCAGUUUUUGCCCAGUGGGUUCGUCUGCGGUUGACAGAAGCUGAGGUGUGCUUUUUACUGUCUAAUGCUCGAGGGGGGAAAUGACAGGUGUCUGCUUUGUUGGAUCUGGGGCCUCUCCUGUCUGACUAGAUGAUUUCUAUGUUUAAGUUCUGUUCCACCUGCGGAGAGUGGACGGAGGUGUGAGAUUGAGGGUGUUACAGGCAUUCUUUCCUCAUGGCAAACUCCAUACAGAAACAAGCCAAUUAGAAAGAAAGAAACUGGUAUGUGGAGAAAAAUGAUGCAAUUUAACUCUACUUCCCUAAGAACACAAGCAUACCUCACUGUGCUGGUAGUCGGGAGUUGGAGCAUUUAUUUGUUUAUUUUUCGGGGCAGUUUUCUCACUGUUUACUCUCCUUGCCUGCUGUUGCUGUUGCAGCUCAGCACUGGUCUGUAUCAGGGAGAGGAAAACUACAUGCCCCACAUCUCAGGAACCUUUAUCCCUUUUCCUGAAGGCCUGCUUUCCGAGGCCUGUUGGGACAAGAGGGGGAGAAGGCCUGCUUUAUGAUGACUGUUGGGACAGGAGGGGGAGAAGGCCUGCUUUAUGAGGACUGUUGGGACAGGAGGGGGAGAAGGCCUGCUUUAUGAGGACUGUUGGGACAGGAGGGGGAGAAGGCCUGCUUUCUGAGGCCUGUUGGGACAGGAAGGGGAGAAGGCCUGCUUUAUGAGGACUGUUGGGACAGGAAGGGGAGAAGGCUUGCUUUAUGAGGACUGUUGGGACAGGAAGGGGAGAAGGCCUGCUUUCUGAGGCCUGUUGGGACAGGAGGGGGAGAAGGG
Molecule: long non-coding RNA, 1167 nt
Filed under: Salmo salar (Atlantic salmon)
Lineage: Eukaryota; Metazoa; Chordata; Actinopteri; Salmoniformes; Salmonidae
Description: lncRNA (ENSSSAG00000097046.1)
Source: RNAcentral